UUGAUUCCUAACUUCAAAAAACAAAAGAAUAGGGAAAAAAAAGAAAGAAAGAAAGAAAAGAGUUCAAUUAUGUGUGCUCUGGUGUUAUUGGACUAUAGAGCUUAAAAAAAGAGAAAGAACGAGAAAAAGAGAAUGUGCAGACAUUGAUCAGUUAAUACAAUCUGUCCUUUUAGCAAAUGUAAAAUAAUUAGCUGUAUUGGUCAUGGCUCAUUUAGUUACAAGUGACAGAAACCCACCUCAACAUGGAUAAAACAAACAAACAACAACAACAACAAAAAGUCAUAGAUUCACAGGAAUAAAAACUUCAUGGAUAAAGGAACAGAAGCUCAAAGAAUUGUCAUUUGCAUCAGAAUCCUAAAAGCAAGCAAAAGACAGAGAGACUACAAGAAAAUAGAAGCUGCAAAGAAAAACAAAUUCACAAUGUAGCCUCAAAAAACAAAGCAUCCAUCCAAGGAGAAGACCAUGUCACCAUGGAGUGAUGAUCUGCUCCAGCAGCCAGCAUAUGACCAACGAACUCAUCCGAGUCAAGAACCUUAGGUUUUUCUCUACCACUUUUAGAAAAUAUGCAUUCUCUUUCCACUGAGGAUGCUGAGCUGUUAAUACAUAACCUGGAGCUAUUGGUGUACUGACACAGGAGAGUCUCUGAUCUCUAUGUUAGGGAUUUGGAAUGAUUUAACAAAAUGGUAAAUACUGUUUUAUGUAGUACUAAAGCCAAAAUACUCCAGCAAAACUAUUUCUGCACUGUCGUGAGCCAGAGUGUCAGAUAUGUUAAUGUUUAUUUCACAAUUUUGUCUUCAUGAUUAAAUGCCUCUACCACUAUUCCAAUCAGAGCUUCCCAUUCACUUUGCAGAGCUACUGAUUGUCUUACUCUCUCUGGAUGAACUGGCAGGGCAAGAAGCAGCCAAACCCCUAAGCAAGUCAUUGCCAAUCAUGAAAAGCCAUGGGCAGCAGCAGUGGGAAUUAUUAUACACUUGUGUUUCCUUCAAGUCAUGUGUCCCCCCCCAAGACUUAGUUUCCUCAUCUGGAAAAUGGAAUAGUAAUAUCUACUAGAGAGAUUCAUAGUGAA
This is a non-coding RNA of Microcebus murinus (gray mouse lemur), 1066 nucleotides long. Lineage: Eukaryota; Metazoa; Chordata; Mammalia; Primates; Cheirogaleidae. The record is from RefSeq and is a predicted model, not a curated record.